Molecule: long non-coding RNA, 1851 nt
Organism: Castor canadensis (American beaver)
Lineage: Eukaryota; Metazoa; Chordata; Mammalia; Rodentia; Castoridae
Source: RefSeq, a predicted model, not a curated record
UUUCUUACUGAAUUACAUGUUUGCAACGUCAUGGACCCACGAUGCUAUUUAAGUUUUUCUACUGUAUUUGAAGUUGAAUUUUGAAUUUUUAUCCCUCAAAGUGCUUUGGAUUGCAUGCUGUCUCAUGUUGCUGGUGAAGCAAAACCAUGUGUUCAUACACUUUAUGAAGUAGUUGCCCUCUAUCUUUGACAGCUGAAGAGCUAUAAAGAAGAUAAAAUUGUGUGUUACACAGUACAACAGCAGGUUAUUCCAAUUACAGCCGUAAUGGAUGUGCAAGAUUAAAUUAGACUCAAGCAUAAUUUAAAAGGACAGGGCUUAUUAACAACUAUCAAAUUAUCGAUACCAAUUUUUUUGAUGAAAGAAUAGCUGAAAAUAGACAUGGAUACAAGGGUUAACCAAGAUUUGGAGAAAUUGCUAAUUUCCAGGGUUAACCAAGAUUUGGAGAAAAGAGGCACUCUCUCAUUACUGGUAAAGAUGCAUCAAUUUCCAGGUCCCUUUUGUAGAGAACAUCUUAGUGGUAUCUAUGAAAUUUUUACAUAUGCAAAAUACUGUUAUUUAUUUGACUUCUUUCACAUUUCUUACAGAUACAUGAACAAGAAAAACAAAAGCUAUGUGGUAGGCUUAGUUCAGCAGUGCAUAAAAAGAUGUUGAGAAAAAUGAACCAAUUUUCUAUCUCACAUUUUGAACUUGUAUAAAUAAGUUUUGAUGUCGCUAUACUCAAUCCUGCAUUGACUUAAGACCAGAUUACAGAAAUGACCAACUAUACUUGAGUCUGAAAUAGAAUCCUAGAUUUUUCUUUUCUUAAAACUGCAGCUGGAAUUUGCAAAAGUGAAUUCUUGACAGGUAUCUCAUCCUCUUAAUUUUUAUUGUCUGUGUCAUGGAACUUAGAACUGGAGGAGUGAGUUUUAAACUGAUUUUAAGUGCAAAAUUAAAACACCGAGGGGGGAAAAAAAAAGAUUUCCAGAGCAAUUGUUAACUAGUGUGAACCACGUUGUUUUUUAGAUUUCAGACUCUUUGGAUUAUUCUAUUUAUUUCUCUUCAGAUUUAGCUGAUCUCUCUACUUGAUUUCUGCUGCAGAGGUGUAGCAGUUUCAUUUAAAUCAUCAGAGCAUGUUCUUUCACUUUUAUUACAAUUAUUGGUACGUUUUUGGAGCCUGUUUCACUUAAAUGCAUGGUUUCUUUCUGAUUGGGGCAGUUUUAGCUCAAGAAAGGUUAGUUUAAAAAUAUAUGUACAUAUAUAGAUAAACAGUAAUAUAAAUUGUUCUGGAGUAUAGAACCUUCACUUUUUUUUGCCUGUUGUAAGUCCCACCCCCUAUGCUGGUGACAAAUUCAGGCCCAGAGCAAAUUAUGUACUCUGCUACUACCCUAGAUCCUAGAUCAAUUUUUAUGAUGAUGAAAUAGGAAAAUAAGCAGUCACAUGUACUAUUCAGCUCACUAAUUGAUCAUAUUAGUAAAGAAGAACAAAAAGGAGAGGUGGGCAGACUCACUUUGGAAUAUACAUUAAGAAAUGGACAUGAUAUGACAUAGCUGACCCUUGUUUUAAGUUGCUAUCUUUACUGAAUAGAAUCCUAAAACUUGUAGCUGUUAGUGGUUUUUUAUUUGCUUUAGCUUUGUCCUUUUUAUUGCACAAUUUAGAAUAAAGUUCUAAUUUAGUUAUCUGUAAUGACGUACUUUUAGAUACAUGAACAAGCUGCUUUUGCCACAUCUUAAGACGCUGAUACCAGCAGCAUCUUCCUGCAGGAGCUGUGAUUAAUGAACAUUAAAGGCCAUGGAAGAAGAUGAAUUUGAAUUACAACCACAAGAACCAAACACGUUUUUUGAUGGAAUAGGUAUAACUGUUUCUUUGGUUGUU